Molecule: long non-coding RNA, 6790 nt
Organism: Gasterosteus aculeatus aculeatus (three-spined stickleback)
Lineage: Eukaryota; Metazoa; Chordata; Actinopteri; Perciformes; Gasterosteidae
Source: Ensembl
CUGUAAAACUACAGUAAACCCAUUUCUUUCUGUCGCAUUGUAAGGGAUCAGGACUGAGACUCAGGAGCAGAGUAAUAAAACAAAAUACUUCUUUCCAGGUUCGGGAUCUUUACUGGCAAAAGUCAACUUUACAAAACAAACCAAAAGGUAGCACAGGCACAAGCGGACUUAACACGCUAGAGAGGAAGAAAGAAAAAGGCCUGGCAAUAACAAAAACAGGAAGACCAAAAAUGAACACUGGCUUGAACCGCAUAACAACUUAUUAUUUUACUGUUAUUUGUUAUGUUAUGUUAUAUAAAGUCUAACGUUGGUCAGAGAUCUUUGGCUUUGACUCAAAAUGAUUUACAUGGAUUUAUCGAGCAGCACUACAGCCAGCAUGUGGAAAAGAGCUUCCAUACACCAAAAAAAGUGUUGAGGGCCACACCUGCAGUAGGGUAUGGACGCGUGUUAGAAGAGUUCAGUGAGGAUAAGCUGUUGGAUAUCUCUAGCUCUUACAACACCUCCUCAUAUCUCCGUCUAUCUUUGUUCCUGUCUCCACUCGGGCCUCGGCCAUAAAGAUUAAACUCCUAAAGUCCAGAGGUUGCCACUACUUGAUUUACAAGACCGAGACACCCGACACUCAUUCCUCUCCAACAUCUCACAACCUCAGCAGACCAACACGCGCAGGUGAGCGAGUCGUUAUUAUUAAUGUAUUGACUUUAAGUAUUUCUUUAGUUUCAUGACAAAAUACACUCAAAGUAGGUACAUGUUUUAAUGUGUGAGUUUGUACGGAGAAAGCAUGAAAUGCGAUUUAACAAAUGUCUAAAUCUUUUGAUAGAUUUUCAAGACAUUUCAAGUAAAAUAAUGAAUCACAUAAAUCGUUUUUAUUAAACGAAAGCAAGGCAGGCAAUAACAUGCAUUUAACUACAUUUUUGGGACACACAUUUCACAUAACUUCUUACUCAUCAAAAUAAUUUAGAUGAAACGUUACUGUCCGUUGCUGUGCUUUAUUUAACUCCUGUGCAUUCCUUUAGAUUACUUGAGAGGACCAAAAAUGUCUGUGUGACAGAGUGCCAUCAAACAAUGCAUUAAUAUUAAUUCCCAAUAUCCCAUCAGUAAAAAUAAUGGUUUAGAAAUAUUAUAAAUUGCUAUUAGAUAAACAAAAUAUUCAAUUGGCUUCAAUUGAGACAUCUCUGUCCUUUUAAGCUCUGAGUUUCUGUGCUUGGCUACACAGUUUAACGUCCAAAGAUAUAAAGAAAAAUAUUUCAUAUGACUUUACAUACGAAUAUUAUGCUUCUGACUUCACAAAAUUCAUUUGAUUUUUGAUUAUUUUGAGUCCAGUGAAUACUAGUUAGUGUAGAUGUAUGUAUGUAAGGAUGGACUGUGAAUACACUGUACGUCUACUGCGUAACACAUUAUGAAGUAAUUGUGUAAUGGAAUCAUAAUUAGAAUGUCUGCCUUAAAAAUAAAAAAAUGAAGUAGAGUGAUGAACCAAGUAGAAAGCUAAUUGUUGUGAGAAACAAGACUGAAGUAGAGACUCCACGGAGGUGGAAGGAGAUCAGGCAGAAGCGUCCUCUCUGGCACCAGUGACCAGUGAGUGGCUCACACUGACACAAACUGUGUUGUUAUCGGGUGGUAGCGGAGUCCAUCCGAUCUCGAUCCGAUAGUGAGGUGCUGAUGCUUAGUAGCUCCUGCACACACGCCUUGUAAGCUCUCUGUGAUGAAGAGGCCUCCGUCUGAGUACGCUUGAUAGAUGGUCAAUUGAGAACGGGAGGGAAGACCUUUGGCUUUAUAUGAAUUCUUUAGAUUUCAGAGUUUUUUAAAGAAAUACCCAGAGUUUGGACUAUUUCAUUGUAAAAUAGAGAAGGAAUUACAUCAUGUAAUACAAAAGUCAUUGAUGGAACAUUUGAGAAUGAUUCAAUACAAGCUGCUGUCUUACAUACUGACCUGGAAAAAAGCUCUGGUUAAAGCUGCGCGUAGAGACUGGGGGCAGGGGAGAGUGUUUGUGAAGCAGGUACAGACAGAUAUGUGGUUUUAGGAGGAGUUUCUUUUUCCUCUACUCCUCUACUUAUCUGCUGUUUUAUUCAUUGUCUUUUCCUGAGCCCCUAACUUCAACUCGCCUCACUCUCAUUUGUAGAAGACUUUGUCUGUCCCUCACUUCCCAUCUUCCUUCCUAUCUUCUCUUCACAUAUUUAUCCCUCCUUUUUCCAUCCGUCAUCCACUGGUCUUAAAAUGUUCUUUAAUCCCACUGUCAUCUCUCGUUAUCUCUUAUUCCCUCUCCUGUCUUUACCUCUGUCCUUGCUCCCUCUCUAUCUCUCUAUCUCUCCAUCUUCAGGUGUUGUCUGACGGCUUUAAGCGGAGGGCAAUUAGUCCGUCGUUCUCAUUAAUAAUACAUUGUUAAGCUCGUUAAUUAUUUACCUUAAUUGCUGAUAUAAGUUUCUCUUCCGUUGACACACACACACUGGUCACUAGCUCUCAAAGGUGACGGAUGGAUUGAGUUUCUGUGGCUCUCUUUCGGCUCCUUUCCUUUAUUUCUAUCCCUGUGUGUGUGUGUGUGUGUGUGUGUGUGUGUGUGUGUGUCUUCAGAUCAAUACAGUUGAUUGAGUGUAAAUGAAAAGAGUGCAGCAGCUACUAAAACUGUGUCACUGUGUUAAUGAGGCCCAGUGAACAGGGAAUACUAAUGUUUGUCUUUGGAUUAUCUAAUUUAUUGAUCACUGAUCAAGGAAACUGUUAUCAAAUACAAAUAAUACAUCUGUAGUUAAACGGAGCAAACACGCAGGGCUUUUGGGCCAAUGAAAAAAUUGAAAAGUCCCCUUAGAGUGCUGUUUUGGUCUCCUCCACCUUCUUCACCUCCUACUGUGGCUUCAUCGCAGCUUCACUGACAACAAAUCAGAUCAAUAAACUCAAAUGCUGUAAACUGAAAGUGGCUUUAGAGCUGUCAUGUGGAUAAGGGAAAGACAUUUCCACAUAUGUAUGUUUUUUAAACAUACUAAGAGAAAGAGACUUUGGGCUCAUUAAAACAGCAUGCAUACGUUUUCUUUCCAAAAGUGAGCUGAACAGAUGGACAUCACUCUAACGUCUGAUCGAUAUGACAACGCUGCCAACAACCACGUGUUCAUUUAUUGUGUAAACGACUGGUUAAGGAUUAUGUUGUUCACGGUUUCCUCAUUAAUGUUCUUUUUCUAAUAUCACUAUUUUAAUGCAUGAAAAUACCUAAAUGUUCCUGAAUGACCAUCCAGCAGAUUUAUGUACAGCCCAUUUUUGGCGCUAAUAAAAGUCUGUGAUUUAUUUCUACACAGUCAACACAUUUGUUCUUUUGAUCUUUGUGCUGUACCCUAUUUAUCUGGAGAAACCUUUGGACCUGACCUUCAACCUAGGGCCAGGACAGAGUCUCUAUCAGCAACAUGAGAAACUAGUGUGAUAUGUGUACAUAUAUAAAUAUGUUACAUUCAGUACUCUUUUUCUCUUUUUCAUUUCCCUUUUCUCUAUUUCAGUGUAACCGGUAGGCUCCUCCUCAUGUCCCUUUGCGUGUGUGUGUACAUGUCGGGGAUAUCUCCGGCUGUGAAGCUGGCUGGAGCUGCUGUCGCUCGGCAGUCAGCCUGAAGACAGACAGAAGAUGGACAGACGGGGGAAGUGGAGGACAGAGGCGGGCGCCGUCAGUAACAAGGAUUCAUCCUGUUGUGAUGCUGCAGGCUGACAGGAUAUCGUUGUUACUGGGGGCGAGGCUCUCGCCAACACGCACAGUGCCGCGGGACCUUACCGUUUGUGAUGUGCUGUGAUGUCAUUUCCAAUAAAGGAACAUUUCAAAUCCUCCUCCGGCUGUUCCAGGAUCAAAAUGAACUUGUUUUCUAAGCAGCACCAGGGCCUUAAUAAUGAAGCUCUUUUUAGCCAUGAAGAUAAGGCCUGAAGCACAUUUUUAUCAGCAUAGCACGAGUCAUACCGGAGUCAACAGACGUAGAACCCAGCUGAGACAGGACACUUACAACUAGAGGGGCGUAGAUACGGUCUAAGGAGACCGAAGCUGUGAAACUAGAAUGCUGGAACGCUGACCUUAGUCAGCCAAGACUUACUGGUACAAAGAAGGGAACACACGGAUGAGUAGGGACAGAUGCAAACAGAGAACCACACAAUCCCGAGCAGGAAGGGAAGUACAGUAACUGAAACAAUUGACAUAUGUGAGAAUAACUACAUAAAAGAGGAAAUGAUCAAAGUAGAACCAAUAAAAAACCACCAGCAGGUGAUUGGAAUGGUAAUCACCCUCAGUCUGAGGAACAGUGGCAGAUGUAAAGGUCCACCUCUGAAUGAUGUCUGCAGGGAAGUGAAGCUCCGCCCACUGCUCUGUGCAGGGCGAGUCACCUUUUAAAAAAUAUAUUUAACAUAUUGCAACAAAAUGACAGCAAUAAAUAAAGUGUGACGUAAAAGUGGUGAUUGGUUCUAUAGAUAUAGAAGAACCAAAAUAUAAGAUAAGUGCUGCACCGGGGGGGGGGGGGGGGGCAGUGCGGCCCGCCGGAUGACUUAGCUAAGUGUAAAAGAGUAGCUGCUAUUCCUAAAAAGUCCACUCAGGGUUGCACUCUGUGCAUGGGCGCAUGCGUCAGACAGCCCCCCUGUCAACCCUACCAUCCGCGUCCACGAGCACCCCCCCACUGUCGGUCCGGCCUGUGGACAGUAUGGUCCCCUAAACCAAAAAGUUUGACACUCCUGGUCUAAAACCUUAAUAACGACUAAAAAGGAGCUAUGAUGACACUAAAAGAAGACCCAUGAACACACACAUGUGUUGAAUGUGGAGCUACAGACAAGUUGAUAUUAAUAAAUGAAAGGCCAGACUCUAAUUACCUUCAAUUAAACCGUACAGUGUCCUAUCAGAGCUCACAUCGCUACUGGCUGUCUGCUUAAAACUACAUUCACACACACACACACAUCCUCUCUCCUCCUAGCCCACACUACUUUGGUUUCACCCGGCUAGUUCGUAGACAGGGCCUAGUGUGUGUGUGUGUUCAGUGUGUAUUUAUUUACCUGCCACAGUACUUUUAAUGCACUGAGCCCUUCAUUCAGACCCCAGGGAGCAGUGAUAAGCACACACACACACACACACACACACACACACACACACACACACACACACACACACACACACACGCGCAAUCUCCCUCGCUUGCAAACAAAAUUAAAUACUGACAAAACUUGUGCCUACACACACACACACACACACACACACACUCCCUCCCCCUUGUUUACACUGAUACACACUGUUGAAUGACACAAUAAAAACUCUCCUUCUCACAGACACACACAUUCACAUAUGUGCAGUACCAGACCCCGGGAGGCCUCCCGUUAGCUCUGGCUUAGACGUUUGGUCGUGACACGCCGGAGGCGAGGCGGCCCAGCGGAACCAACCACGGCAAACAAACAAAUAACAGAGCAGUAGGGGAGGACCAGAAAGUACUGGUUCAUCAGUAGAUCUCACACUACACACAGUGUGUGUGUUCAACAUAGAGUCAAGUAUAUAAGUUUGGCUGCUUCAUAGGUUCUAAAGCCUCAUGGAUUAAUAAGCGGGCUAACUAUGCUUUAUACUGUGUCAUAGAUUAUAGAGCAGGCCAGAGACAUCAUAUACGAGUAUACGAGACAUCAUAUCUGGACUAACAUUAUGGUUCCUUCAUGUCGACAGGGCCUAGGGAGUACUUUAAAACAGAUUAGUGCAUAUUGUAGCCAAGAGUCUAACGCUUGGAACCAUGUGAAGCAUUCAUGUGUUGGUUCAUGAUGAGAACCCGAGAGUUCGGUUCUGGUUCGUUUAGGAGACUUUAGGGUUUAAAGGUAGGAACAAACAGAAAGGUUUUGAGUCUUAAUUUGAAGAAACUCAGGCGACCCAGGACUAGGUGGAGAGAUUACACCUCUGCACUGGCCUGGGAACGCUUCGGGAUCCCCCAGUCAGAGCUGGUAGAUGUGGCCCAAGAAAGGGAAGUUUGGGGUCCCCUGCUGGAACUGUUGCCCCCGCGACCCGACGCUGGAUAAGUGGUUGAAGACGGAUGGAUGGAUGUUGAGUCAUAAAUCCUCUCAUCCUUUAUAUAUUAUUUAGGGGCAUAUAGGCUGGUUGUGUAAUUGUCUUUAAAUGGCUGUUCAAAUUAAGGUCUGACUCCAUAACUACAACUAGAUUUCUGACUUACAGUUUUCAAGACAAGCGAUUAUAGCUGAGCGCUGAGUUUCAAUGGCUCAAUGAUAACACACCUUGUUUCUUUCCAUAAUGUGAGCUAGUGGAAGCAUGUGGUGUUGAGAAGGAGAGCCCCCAGAAUUGAACCUCGGGGAACACCACUUGCCAUUUUAGUCCAUUCUGAUCCUGGUGAGAUUAGCUGCAUCAUUCAAGUAGGAUUCACACCAGUUUAGUGCUAUUCUUUAAAGCAGUGUGUCAUUAAAAUCUCUGUCCAGCGUCAACCUCUCCAUCAUCCGUGAUCCCCCACUGUGCCUAGCUGUUCCUUUCAGCUGCAUAUUCAACAGAAGUACUGCUUUUUUACACAUCAUGCCUGUCGUGAUUUACUAUUUUUGUAUCAUUACCAUAAAAAAUAUUUUAUUUAAAUAAAGGGAUUGAUUGGAUUAAAUGAGCCAACUUUCCUUUCUUUAAUUAAUAUAACCGACAAAUUAUUACCGGUACUGGAGAAAAUCCCAAAUCCCUUCACUCGGGUACCCCAUUUCUCUCUAGAUCAGAGGUCACUAACUGGCGGACCGAUCUUAAUUCUUCCAAAACAGUGGAUAUAAAUAUAUAUAUAUAUUCUAUUCAACUGUUCAAUUGUUAAAAUGUGUUCAGAUUUAUUAUUUAUAA